GUUUGAUAGGCAGCUUGCCUUGUGAGAGAACUUCUUCGGCAAAUUCAACUAUGUCAGAUCCAAUUUCCUCCCAACAAUCUUGUAAGAAUUCUGUCGAGAUCAUGUCAAGGCCUAGUUCUUUGUCUCGAGGAAGUUCCUUCACAGCAAUCUUCACUACUCCUGGGGUGCUGUCUCAUUUGAGAUCUUUCUUUUGAGUUGGGGUCACCAGUUUUGAUACGCUGGAUAGGCAAAUUGACUUGGCUUUACUGUUGUUUUCAACAGCGGUAUCUUUGGUGUUUAGAUUUUUGUAAUAAGCAUGGGCGUAUACAACCAUGUCCUUCUAAAGAAUAAAUAUGCUGCCCUGGUCAUUAAAUUCUCUGAUUCACAUUUUCUUGUGUUUAGUCCCAUAUUGUUGGAAGAAGUUAGAGUUACAUCUGUCCCCCACCCUAGUCCACUUCGUCUAUAAUGCUGUGAAUUGUUUUUCUAGCCUGCUAUGCCAUAUUUUUUGUAACUGAAUCUGGGCUGAAUUGAGUGAGACUCUAGCCGUCUAAUUGCUCGAAUUUUCUUGCAAUCUGAUUUCGGCUGAGAGUAAGUCUGCGAGUUGGUUUUGAUACUAUUGCUUCAAAUUGCGAUGGUUAUUUUUGGCUAUGCAUGCAUUCAUUUCCCUGACUAUUUUCAAGGCUGCAUGCACUUUGUCACACCACAUAUGAUGUUAGUGGUUAAAGAUGCUGUGUUUCCAUGCUUCGGUUAGAAUUUCCCUUCUCGUUGCGAUUUCUAGCUAUCUUUUGUCGAAAAAUUGCGUUCUGGAUAGAGGUUUUCCUGUAGGUUUAAGUUUGAUGAAUAUGGGAGAGUGGUAGGAGAUACCUUGCUGGAUUGGCCAGAUACCAAUUAAUCCACCUCUAUCUUGUAGUUUCGUCCCGAUGUAGAAACUAUCUAUUCUAGUGAGUACCAUUCAGGAUGUGGGGCGGUGGUUGUCCCAUGUAAAGUGUUCAAUAUUGGUUUUUCGAAAUUCUCCCAUUUGAAAAGAAUCUUGAACUUGUAGUUUGAUUAAGAGAUUGUUCCAAGCCAUUGUUUCUCGUAAGCCGCGGCCUAGAUGAUUAUUUAUCAUCUUAUAUUUCAAUAAAAUUGAAAUCCCCUCCCAUAAGCCAUUGUGCCUCUGGUAAGGGGAAGUCAGCAAUCUUCUACCAUAAAUUUGAUCUAAAUCUUGUGUAGUUCGGACUGUAUAUGUUCAAUAUGCCGGUUUUUAUAGCACGUGACCGUUCGAGUAUAAUAUAUUGCACUCUACUCCUUACGAUCACACCAUGGGCGGUAAUGCCCUCGGCUAGUUUAUGAGAUGUGAGGAUGGCAGUGCCAUCAGCUAGGCUGUCUUCGCGUGCAGAAUAUACGGCAGCAUUCCAAAAGAUAGGUCCCUUCAUGAAUUCCAGUUGCGGUACCCAUUCGGUAUAGUCAAUGUGGCUAAGUCGGUGUUCUUGUAUAAUGAUAACGUCGGGUUUUGGAUACGUAUUUAGCAUAAAAUUUCAAAAUUUGUGGCGUUUGCAUACGUCUUCUAGGCCUUUUCCUAGGCACUGGACAUUGUAUGAGGCUACAAUGAGGCUAUCAGUCAUCCUUAUCUAGGAUGGUUUCCUCUCCCAGUUUCUGCUCAAAGCAAAUCAGGAGGGGGGAGGGGGGGGGGGGUAUUGAUUGCUGCUGGGAUCUUCGCAUGAUGGAGUUGCUAUUUAUUUUCAGUCUGCAUGUGUUAUUGUUUGUAUUCUCUUCAGUAUGGGGUCUAAAUGCAUACCUGAAUGGGAGACAUGUUUCUAUUUCAUCAUUUGGUACUGUUUGAUGGUGGUGACUUGUUCAUCUAUCGAUAUGAUAGCUACCCAAUCACAGACUGUAAUAUUAUCUUAGGAUCUCCAUUCGGAUGACCACAGAGCGUCUGUCCAUUGCUUCAAAGGGUUAUACCGGUUUUUUUUUAAUUUGUAAUCUCAUUCCAUAGGCACUGCAUAGUUUGAUUCACCAAGUGAUGUUUUGAUGUUUCUGGGUUCCAAUUUGUGUCACUUGGAGUUUGUGUGAUUUGUAGUAUGCACAGCGGGACAAUGGAGGUUUUAUGGACCAAGGCUUCUAUUGCAUGAUCAGGGGUGGUACGGACCAGUAUGGAUGUUACGUGACCUUGUGCCCGCCCUUCACUGGGAGGUCGUUUGCGGUCAUCCCUCCUGGUGAGUGCACAUUGCUUGGCGUGAUGGGAUGUGCUUCUGCACCGAUUGCAUUGGGAUGCAAGUCCGCUGUAUUCAAUGUGGUAUUCCUUUUCCCCGCCUGUUGGGUUGGGUAAGACCAAAGAGAAUGGAAGCUUGGUGAUAUCUGCAACUAAAACGCGAACUUUGGGUCCUGAAACCUUGCUACGGUAAGUUUCCAUGGGAUCCACAACGAGGACCUCUCCUAUGGUGCUGAAUAUUUUGGUGAGAAGUUGGGGUGUCCUAAAUAUUCGUCACAGACCCUUGAAAUGCGCCCAGAUCGGGAAAGUGUAUUUGGAUGUUGUAUUAUCACCAGGGUCGAAAUUUGCCUUCCAUGGUGUAAAAAGUACAUCUUGAUUGUUAAAUUUAUGUUGUUUCGAGAGCAUCUGUGUCUUGCCUUGCUCGCUUGCACCUCAAUGUAUCCGAUUCCAAGCAUGGUGAUGGAGGAGUAAGAGUUGUGGACUCUUGUGGCUCAUUCGUGAAGAAAUCUCGGACCCGGGUUCUUCCUCAUAUAUCCUAUCAAGGUAUGGCUUUCCUCGUGAGUUAUUUGGUUUUGCACCUGUUGCAUUGUACUCUGGCUGAGAUCGACCUUUAUCUUGUGGUGAUCAGGUUUGUUUUGAUUGACUAUCGGAGUUGUAAGAGUGGGCGCUCACAUGGCUCCUAUGGUCGGCGUGUCAAUACCAAACGCUUGUAGUAUCUGAUCAACUUCCGGCUUCAGUUGUGCCAGUAGUCUCGAACCUUCUUCCUCAACUGUGUACUGGAAGCACAAUCCUAAGUGUGGAUUGGCUCGAGUAAAAUCCUCGGUUGUGUCUCAUUUCGUUUGCACGUAUGCUUUAAGGUUUGCAAUUGUGUUUUGGGCUCGUUUCAAAAUAACUGGGUCAACUAUGGAUUCCUAUCCGUGGAGGCAGGUUUCCGUGCCGUGGAUUGGAGCUGUAUUCCCUGUUCGUGUUGUU
Molecule: non-coding RNA, 3142 nt
Organism: Physcomitrium patens
Lineage: Eukaryota; Viridiplantae; Streptophyta; Bryopsida; Funariales; Funariaceae
Source: RefSeq, a predicted model, not a curated record